Molecule: ribosomal RNA, 443 nt
Filed under: uncultured bacterium
Lineage: Bacteria
Description: partial 16S ribosomal RNA
Rfam family: Bacterial small subunit ribosomal RNA
Source: RNAcentral
CCUACGGGGGGCAGCAGUGGGGGAUAUUGGACAAUGGGGGGAACCCUGAUCCAGCGACGCCGCGUGAGUGAAGACGUAUUUCGGUAUGUAAAGCUCUGUCAGCAGGGAAGAAAGAAAUGACGGUACCUGACCAAGAAGCCCCGGCUAACUACGUGCCAGCAGCCGCGGUAAUACGUAGGGGGCAAGCGUUAUCCGGAAUUACUGGGUGUAAAGGGAGCGUAGACGGUUAAGUAAGUCUGGAGUGAAAGGCCGGGGCUCAACCCCGGGACUGCUAUGGAAACUAUUUAACUUGAGUGCAGGGGAGGUAAGCGGAAUUCCUAGUGUAGCGGUGAAAUGCGUAGAUAUUAGGAGGAACACCAGUGGCGAAGGCGGCUUACUAGACUGUAACUGACGUUGAGGCUCGAAAGCGUGGGGAGCAAACAGGAUUAGAUACCCUGGUAGUC